RNAcentral lists this unclassified non-coding RNA (337 nucleotides) under soil metagenome. RNAcentral's name for it is "partial contains 5.8S ribosomal RNA, internal transcribed spacer 2, and large subunit ribosomal RNA". The stretch from base 1 to 120 matches the Rfam family "5.8S ribosomal RNA", at positions 35 to 154 of the family's 154-position model. The record is from RNAcentral.
GAUGAAGAACGCAGCGAAAUGCGAUAAGUAGUGUGAAUUGCAGAAUUCAGUGAAUCAUCGAAUCUUUGAACGCACAUUGCGCCCCAUGGUAUUCCGUGGGGCAUGCCUGUUCGAGCGUCAUUUACCCCCUCAAGCUCCGCUUGGUGUUGGGCGUCUGUCCCGCUUCGCGCGCGGACUCGCCCCAAAGGUAUUGGCAGCGGUCGUGCCAGCUUCUCGCGCAGCACAUUGCGCUUCUCGAGGCACCGGUGGGCCCGCGUCCAUCAAGCUCAGCCCCCCAGUUUGACCUCGGAUCAGGUAGGGAUACCCGCUGAACUUAAGCAUAUCAAUAAGCGGAGGA